UCUCCUUCUUCUGCAUCUUCAUCUUCUUCUUCUUUGUUGUUUGCUUCCUUUCUGUGAAAGGGCUGAUACUCAAACAAGUUCAUGGUAUCAGAGCCACCAUCACAGUAAUUACUGUGAAAAUUGCUCGUAUUUGAGUCAAAGACUCGAGAUCAGAGUCAAAGAUUCAUCCAAUUUCCUAUCUGGUUCUGCAGAUCUAAGCUCCAUAGAAGCUAAAACUGCCGUCAAUAGUGACUUCCGCAAAAAAAUUUCGAAAAGGUUGAAGAAAUGGCAGGUGAAGCCACAGAUGCAGUUCAGAAUCUCUAUCAAACUCACUUCAAUGUUCAACGAGUUGGUAUACCUGAUUCUGCAAGCUCUGCGAGUAGCAAUGGGAAAGAAUCACAUCAAGUUUGCAGCUGCUUAUGGGCAUAAGAUGGCCAAGGAUUCCAACACCGAAGCAGCUCUCACAACUAAUACUGAGCCAGAAGAACCCACUGAAAGCGCUUCAAAUUUUUGACGAAGCAAAAUGCAAGUAUCCAACUUACCGUCACAAUGGUCCUGUUUAUGGCACUAUGAUUAAUAUUUUAGGCAGAUCAGGUAGAACAACUGAGAUGAAUAGAAUAAUUAAUCAGAUGAAAGAGGACUCGUGUGAGUGUCAUGACUCAAUAUUUGUGAACGCCAUUAGAAGCUAUGCACAGGCUGGAUUAACAAACGAAGCCAUUUUUCUUUUUAAGUCUCUUCCGGAGUUCAAUUGUAUAGAAUGGACAAGAUCUUUGAAUACUCUUUUGGAGAUAUUGGUAGAAGAAUCUAAGCUAGAAUCUGUUUAUCAGUUAUUCCUUGAGAACUCUUGUAGAUGGGAAGUGAAGUCUCGGGCGCGUUUCUUGAAUUUGUUGAUGAAUGUUCUUUGUAGAAUGAAACACUCAGAUCUUGCAUUGCAUAUUUUUCAAGAGAUGAGUUACCAGAACUGCUAUCCAAACAAAGAGAACUACAGAAUCUUGAUGAGGGGUUUAUGUGAGGAAAAGCGGCUCAACGAGGCUACUCAUCUGCUGUACUCAAUGUUCUGGAGGAUAUCUCAGAAGGGAAGUGGUGAAGAUGUGGUUGUCUAUCGAACUUUAUUGGAAGCAUUGUGUGAUAAUGAAGAAGGGGAGGAGGCCAUACAAAUUAUUGGUAAGGUAUUGCGAAAAGGACUAAAAUCUCCGAAAAGAUUCUUCAAGCAGAUUGAUCUUGCUCAAUGCCAGAAUGGAUCAGAUACAGAAGAUAUGAAAAUUUUGAUUAAUGAAGUUUUGAUAAAAGGCAUAGUUCCCAGUUCAGAUAGCUAUAGAGCAAUGGCUGUUGACUUUUAUGCCGAAGGCAAGAUUGAUGAAGGUAACAAAGUGCUCAAGGAAAUGCAUGACAGAGGCUUCAAACCGUCAGUGGCAAUUUAUGAAGCAAAGGUAGCUGCUUUUUUCAGGGAUGGCCAGGUUGACGAGGCAAUUAUGGUCAUUGAUUGUGAGAUGGUGCAAAAAAACUGUGUUCCGAAUAUAAGAUUGUAUAAUUCAGUUAUAAAAGGCCUAUGCCAUGAAAGAAAAUCUACUUGUGCUGUUAAGUAUUUGGAAAGGAUGUCUAGGCAAGUAGGUUUCGUGCCAAACUAUGAGUCGUAUGAAACUUUGGUAGAUGGGUUAUGUAAAGAUGGUAAAUAUGUUGAAGCAAGCAAUGUGAUGGAGCAAAUGUCAAUCAAUUCCCUUUGGCCUAGAGUUGGAACUUUUAAUUCUCUUAUUCAAGGUUUUUGCCAAGUAAGUGAUUUACACGGUGCAAUUAUGUGUUUGGAGGACAUGAUCUCUCUAGCCUUGACUCCAGAUAUCCAUGUGUGGCAGUCAUUAUUAGAUGCAAUCUGUUGUGAAAAUGGUAUGAAUGAGGUUUCUUUCAAGACACUAGAGCAGCUACAGACACCUUAUCAUAGUCUAUAACUACAUCUGUAUUGCUGGAUUUUUCCCUUUUCUUUUCUGAUCUAUAUGCUGAUAUGUUUACCUUAAUGUCCGUGCUUCGUUUAGUAGAUUCAAGUCCUUGCUUAUUCAAGUUGUACAUCCACCAAAGAGCCAAAGAAUGCAGAAGAGAAGCAGCAGUGACCACAACUGCUCACACUCAGCUUUGUUUGGGGCAUAUUCUCAGAAUUAGAUCAACAACAUGACAUUACAGAGUUCUAAUCGUUUUGUUUUGUCGAACUUAGUAGGCAUUUAGACAUGUAAUUUUACAUAGUAAUUUGAAUUAUGAGAUGCAUCAGUGUUUGAACAUGUAGUUUUAUCUCAUGAUUUCAAAUCUUGAGAUGAAAUCUCAAAUUCUCCAAAAGUUUGAUUUGGAGAUUUCAUAUCAUGAUUUCACGUUUUUCAAAUACAAAAAUUGACCCACAAAUAUAUAUUUUUGUAACAGAA
RNA transcript from Solanum dulcamara, 2384 nucleotides. It is a transcript of the gene named pentatricopeptide repeat-containing protein At1g05600-like, with no coding region annotated. The record is from RefSeq and is a predicted model, not a curated record. The transcript is spliced from 4 exons. NCBI's taxonomy places the organism in Eukaryota, Viridiplantae, Streptophyta, Magnoliopsida, Solanales, Solanaceae.